This 442-nucleotide ribosomal RNA is filed under the name uncultured bacterium. Its description in RNAcentral is "bacterial SSU rRNA". It matches the Rfam family "Bacterial small subunit ribosomal RNA", at positions 337 to 795 of the family's 1533-position model. The record is from RNAcentral.
GCCUACGGGCGGCAGCAGUAGGGAAUAUUGCACAAUGGGCGAAAGCCUGAUGCAGCAACGCCGCGUGCGCGAAGAAGGCCUUCGGGUUGUAAAGCGCUUUUCGGGGAGAUGAGGAAGGACAGUAUCCCCGGAAUAAGGCUCGGCUAACUACGUGCCAGCAGCCGCGGUAACACGUAGGAGCCAAGCGUUAUCCGAAUUCACUGGGCGUAAAGCGCGUGCAGGCGGCUCGGUAAGUUGGAUGUGAAAGCUCCUGGCUCAACUGGGAGAGGACGUUCAAUACUGUCGGGCUAGAGGACGGCAGAGGGAGGUGGAAUUCCCGGUGUAGUGGUGAAAUGCGUAGAUAUCGGGAGGAACACCAGUGGCGAAGGCGGCCUUCUGGGCCGAUCCUGACGCUCAGACGCGAAAGCUAGGGGAGCGAACGGGAUUAGAUACCCCUGUAGUC